Long non-coding RNA from Antechinus flavipes (yellow-footed antechinus), 2224 nucleotides. RefSeq lists it as uncharacterized. Lineage: Eukaryota; Metazoa; Chordata; Mammalia; Dasyuromorphia; Dasyuridae. The transcript is spliced from 2 exons. The record is from RefSeq and is a predicted model, not a curated record.
AUUCCUUGCACUCACUUCUGUUCUGACUUUUCUCCUCCUUCCCUCCACCCCCUCCCCUAGAUGGCAGCAGUCCUAUACAAGUUAAAUAUGUCACAGUGUAUCCUAGAUACAAUAUAUGUGUGCAGAACCGAACAGUUCUCUUGUUGCACAGGGAGAAUUGGAUUCAGAAGGUAUAAAUAACCCAGGAAGAAAAACAAAAAUGCAAGCUGUUUACAUUCAUUUCCCAGUGUUCUUUCUUUGGGUGUAGCUGCUUCUGUCCAUCCUUGAUCAAUUGAAACUGAGUUAGAUCUUCUCUUUGUCAAAGAAAUCUACUUCCAUCAGAAUACAUCCUCAUACAGUGUCGUUGUUGAAGUGUAUAAUGAUCACCUGGUUCUGUUCAUUUCACUUAGCAUCAGUUCAUGUAAGUCUCUAGAGCCAGGACUUUCUGAAAUCAUCCUGCUGGUCAUUUCUUACCAAACAAUAAUAUUAUAUAACAUUCAUAUACCACAAUUUAUUCAGCCAUUCUCCAAUUUUUUUUUAUUUUUUUAUUUAAUGAUUACUUUAUAAUGACAACAUUAUUCCUUGCACUCGUUUCUUUUCUGAUUUUUUUUUUCCCUCUCCCUCCCUCCACCCCCUCCCCUAGAUGGCAAGCAGUCCUUUAUAUGUUGGAUAUGUUGCAGUAUAUCCUAGAUACAAUAUAUGUUUGCAGAACCGAACAGUUCUCUUGUUGCAUAGGGAGAACUGGAUUCAGAAGGUAUAAAUAACCCGGGAAGAAAAACUAAAAUGCAGAUAGUUCACAUUUGUUUCCCAGUGUUCUUUCUUUGGGUGUAGCUGCUUAUGUCCGUCAUUUAUCAAUUGAAACUUAGUUAGGUCUCUUUGUCAAAGAAAUCCACUUCCAUCAAAAUAUGUCCUCAUACAAUAUCGUUGUCGAAGUGUAUAAUGAUCUCCUGGUUCUGCUCAUUUCACUUAGCAUCAGUUCAUGUAAGUCUCGUCAGUCCUCUCUGUAUUCAUCCUGCUGGUCAUUUCUUACAGAACAAUAAUAUUCCAUAACAUUCAUAUACCACAAUUUACCCAGCCAUUCUCCAAUUGAUGGGCAUCAAUUCAUUUUCCAGUUUCUAGCCACUACAAACAGGGCUGCUACAAACAUUUUGGCACAUACAGGUCCCUUUCCCUUCUUUAGUAUUUCUUUGGGAUAUAAGCCCAAUAGAAACACUGCUGGAUCAAAGGAUAUGCACAAUUUGAUAAUUUUUUGGGCAUAAUUCCAGAUUGCUCUCCAGAAUGGUUGGAUUCGUUCACAACUCCACCAACAAUGCAUUAGUGUCCCAGUUUUCCCGCAUCCCCUCCAACAUUCAUCAUUAUUUUUUCCUGUCAUCUUAGCCAAUCUGACAGGUGUGUAGUGGUAUCUCAGAGUUGUCUUAAUUUGCAUUUCUCUGAUCAAUAAUGAUUUGGAACACUCUUUCAUAUGAGUGGUAAUAGUUUCAAUCUCAUCCUCUGAAAAUUGUCUGUUCAUAUCCUUUGACCAUUUAUCAAUUGGAGAAUGGCUUGAUUUCUUAUAAAUUUGAGUCAGUUCUCUAUAUAUUUUGGAAAUGAGGCCUUUAUCAGAACCUUUAACUGUGAAAAUGUUUUCCCAGUUUGUUGCUUCCCUUCUAAUCUUGUUUGCAUUAGUUUUAUUUGUACAAAGGCUUUUUAAUUUGAUGUAAUCGAAAUUUUCUAUUCUGUGAUCAGUAAUGGUCUCUAGUUCAUUUUUGGUCACAAAUUUCUUUCUCCUCCACAAGUCUGAGAGAUAAACUAUUCUAUGUUCCUCUAAUUUAUUUAUAAUCUCGUUCUUUAUGCCUAGGUCAUAGACCCAUUUUGAUCUUAUCUUGGUAUAUGGUGUUAAGUGUGGGUCCAUGCCUAAUUUCUGCCAUCCUAAUUUCCAAUUAUCCCAGCAGUUUUUAUCAAAUAAUGAAUUCUUUUCCCAGAAGUUAGGGGCUUUGGGUUUGUCAAACACUAGAUUGCUAUAAUUGACUAUUCUGUCUUGUGAGCCUAGCCUUUUCCACUGAUCCACUAAUCUAUUUCUUAGCCAAUACCAAAUGGUUUUGGUGACUGCUGCUUUAUAAUAUAAUUUUAGAUCAGGUACAGCUAGGCCACCUUCAUUUGAUUUUUUUUUUCAUUAAUUCCCUUGAGAUUCUCGACUUUUUAUUGUUCCAUAUGAAUUUUGUUGUUAUUUUUUCUAGAUCAAUAAAACAUUUAUUUGUUUUGCAAA